AGUCAAGUAAUUAAGUGCAUGUGGUGGAUGCCUUGGCAGUCAGAGGCGAUGAAAGACGUGAUAGCCUGCGAAAAGCUCCGGGGAGGCGGCAAAUAUCCUUUGAUCCGGAGAUGUCUGAAUGGGGGAACCCACCUACUUUAAGGUAGGUAUUGCAACAUGAAUACAUAGUGUUGCAAGGCGAACGAGGGGAAGUGAAACAUCUCAGUACCCUUAGGAAAAGAAAUCAAUUGAGAUUCCCUCAGUAGCGGCGAGCGAACGGGGAUCAGCCCAUUAAGUUAUGUGUGUUUUAGUGGAACGCUCUGGGAAGUGCGAACGUAGAGGGUGAUAUUCCCGUACACGAAAGGGCACACAUAAUGAUGACGAGUAGGGCGAGGCACGUGAAACCUUGUCUGAAUAUGGGGGGACCAUCCUCCAAGGCUAAAUACUCCUGACUGACCGAUAGUGAACCAGUACCGUGAGGGAAAGGCGAAAAGAACCCCUGUGAGGGGAGUGAAAUAGAUCCUGAAACCGCAUGCAUACAAGCAGUGGGAGCACCUUCGUGGUGUGACUGCGUACCUUUUGUAUAAUGGGUCAGCGACUUAUAUUCAGUAGCGAGGUUAACCGUAUAGGGGAGCCGUAGAGAAAUCGAGUCUUAAUAGGGCGUUUAGUUGCUGGGUAUAGACCCGAAACCAGGC
RNAcentral lists this ribosomal RNA (674 nucleotides) under Acinetobacter baumannii. RNAcentral's name for it is "partial 23S ribosomal RNA". It matches the Rfam family "Bacterial large subunit ribosomal RNA", at positions 1 to 726 of the family's 2925-position model. Lineage: Bacteria; Pseudomonadati; Pseudomonadota; Gammaproteobacteria; Moraxellales; Moraxellaceae. The record is from RNAcentral.